UGAGCAAUCUGCCCUUCUCAUCGGAAUAAGCGUUGGAAACGACGUCUAAUGCCGAAUACGACCUCCUUUCGCAUGAUCGGAGGUGGAAAGCUCCGGCGGAGAAGGAUGAGCUCGCGGCCUAUCAGCUAGUUGGUGUGGGUAAUGGCCCACCAAGGCGACGACGGGUAGCCGGCCUGAGAGGGUGACCGGCCACACGUGGGACUGAGACACCGGCCCAGACCUCCGUACGGGAGCAG
Molecule: ribosomal RNA, 236 nt
Filed under: uncultured bacterium
Lineage: Bacteria
Description: partial 16S ribosomal RNA
Rfam family: Bacterial small subunit ribosomal RNA
Source: RNAcentral